UCCCCCCCCCCCUGUUAACCUAACACAAGAGUAUUCCAAGAAAGAUUCAACAAAAAAGAAGGAACUCGGCAAAUACUGAUCUCGCCUGUUUACCAAAAACAUCGCCUCUCGCUAAAAUGAGAGGUCCAGCCUGCCCAGUGACCCCACCCAGUUUAACGGCCGCGGUAUCCUGACCGUGCAAAGGUAGCGCAACCACUUGUCUUUUAAAUAAAGACUAGUAUGAACGGCAUCACGAGGAUCAAACUGUCUCCUUUUUUCAAUCCGUGAAACUAAUCUUCCCGUGAAGAAGCGGGAAUCCUGUCAUAAGACGAGAAGACCCUGUGGAGCUUAAGGCAAACAGUUACCGCUUUCCCCCAUCACUCUAGUACACAUAUUAUAGCGCUUAACUGCUCACCUUUGGUUGGGGCGACCACGGAGCAAAACCCAUCCUCCGCGCAGGGAAUCACCCAGCAAAGAACCACAAUUCUAUGCAUCAACAAAUUGAUGUAAUUGACCCAAUUACUUGAGCAACGAACUAAGUUACCCCAGGGAUAACAGCGCAAUCCGCUUCAAGAGCCCAUAUCGACAAGUGGGUUUACGACCUCGAUGUUGGAUCAGGGUCCCCCAGUGGUGCAGCCGCUGCUAAAGGUUCGUUUGUUCAACGAUUAAAACCCUACGUGAUCUGAGU
This 667-nucleotide ribosomal RNA is filed under the name Ischnocnema cf. spanios CC-2012. RNAcentral describes it as "partial 16S ribosomal RNA". It matches the Rfam family "Bacterial large subunit ribosomal RNA", at positions 1635 to 2610 of the family's 2925-position model. The record is from RNAcentral. Lineage: Eukaryota; Metazoa; Chordata; Amphibia; Anura; Brachycephalidae.